RNAcentral lists this unclassified non-coding RNA (3511 nucleotides) under Gigantopelta aegis. Its description in RNAcentral is "f-box only protein 30-like, transcript variant X1". Lineage: Eukaryota; Metazoa; Mollusca; Gastropoda; Neomphalida; Peltospiridae. The record is from RNAcentral.
UGUUGUGUGUUAAAAAGUUCUCGUUCAUUGUGUUAUGUUUUCUUUUUAUAGUUUACAAUAAUUAAUAAUCUCGAUAUAUUCUGUUUAUCAUGAUCGGUAGUAAAGAAGGAGGCAGAUGUAUUGAAUUUGGAAUUUUCGUUUUAUGACAGCCUGUGUCCAGUGAAACGAACACCCCUUUAUCUGUACGUCUGGGAUCACGGAUGCAGCAGCUCUCCACAAGGCUGAUUCAAAGUCAAUCACCAGACGUUGUACCCUCGGAUGAACUGGAUGAUCGCAAACAAGGCAUCCGUUAGCAGCCAUAUUUUUUAGCGGAUGACACUGGUGAACGAUGCUGCAUGCUCAUUGUGAGGGCUGUGUUUCCAGACACUGCAAUGUGAGGGGAAAUGGAGUGGACAGCUGUCCUGUUGUUCCUUGUGAACAAGGCUGUUCCGCUAGGUACCACCAGUGCCUCCAGAGUGAACACACACUGCUGUGUCCUGAAGAGCGGGUGAGCUGCAUCAACGCUGUCAAUGGCUGCCCUCUUAUUAUGGUGCGUCGCAAGCUGGCGAGUCAUCUGGAGGUGUGUCCAGCCAGCGUCCUGUGCUGCCCAACUGAGUGGAACCGCUGGCCCAUGCACUCCAAGGAGGAUGGCAAGAAAAUGCCAGUCCCAUCCUGUAGUCGAUACAUCAUGUGCGGCCAGCUGGAUGUCGCCUUGGCGAUGAGGGAUCAACGCAUGCUCAUCCAGACUCUGAAUGCUCCCAAGAAGACGAAGCGAAUAAUGAGGAAUUCCCUGACAACGCGUUACCCUGCCGCGCCCUUCAGUCACCGAGGUGCUUCGAUGGAGUCUGAUGUAUUGACGUCGGAGGAGAAUUCGAGGAAUGUUUCCGACGACGACUGCGAUGUGCCUUGGAAUCUGGGUCAGUACCCGCCGGGACUACAGAGGAGUGUUUGCAGUCGACUGAUCCGAGCGACGAAGCAGGCGACGGAGAGUUUGACGGUGACUCUGGACUUAGUUUCCAACCACUUGUCUGGUCAGGCUCCCUCGUGCAGCAAUUCAUCGCUGGAAGAGUUGUGUAAAGGGCCCGAUGGUGUUGAUGGUGUGGAUGAUAUGCAGGAGUCCGCAGGGUGUGCAGAUGGCAGUCUUCCCAUUGCUUGUGGGUUAUGUAAACCCCAGUCAAAGCACGUGCACUCUGUGCAGUGUAUGACCGGUUUCCAUAAUGGCAGUCUUCCACAAGCAGAGGUAGCAGAGCCAGAGGAACCGCAGGAGCUUGUUGACAAUCUGGAUUGCCUGGACAGUAAACCGAUUAACGAGGACACCAAGCUCCACGAACUGCUGGGUGUUGACAUCAACAUUGACUGUAUAACACGGUACCAGCCGAAACCGGCCGAGAUGUACACGUUUCUAUGUGCGCAGGAGUUCCGGCGAGACGAGUUCGCCUGGCACUACAAGAACGUGCACGUCGACCUACAGAGCUGCUUCAACGGCUGGAUGGAGCAGCGCUGUCCCCUCGCCCACCGUGGCUGCACCUUCUCCUUCCGCCGAUUCCAGCCGCGCUCCAACGGUGCUCACAUCACUCACAGCUACCUGAGCGAAAGCUUCGGCUUGGUUUUGAAUGAUCUCCCGCAGGUGAAAUGUUUGACAAAUAAAUCCGCGGAGCCCAAUGCUUGCUGUGAUACCCACAGAACAGACGAUACUGUGAUACCUCAGUCGGGCUUAUCGCCGAACGAUAUACGACACGCCCGCAGUGUAGAUGUAACAAAUUCAAACGUAAGCAGCUUAGUCUGUGACACUAUGGAAACCAGCUGUCUUUCAGAUGUCGCGUCCACGCCCUUGUCUUUCAAUGCCAGCGAUUAUGAUUACCACCACAAUGAUGAUGACGAUGUUGAUCUUGACAACGAUGGUGCUAAGGAUGUAGAAAUUGAUGUCUCCGGUUCAAGCGUUGUCUCACAACAGUCUCACACUUCGCUUGUUGCAGAGGAUAAUAAUAAUGUCAUUGUGUUUACGUCUCAGCGAGCCUACUCGCCAAUUCUUUUAUGUACAGUGCAAGAUUCUGCCUUGACAGAUGUUAAUUCAGAUCUCUUUAUGAAGCUUCCGUUUGAAGUGUUGCGUCACGUGGCCCGCCACCUCGACUCGUUCAGUCUGCGCAAUCUGGCUCUGACCAGUCGCCUGCUGCGUGACGUCUGCUGCAGCCUGCUCAACGAGCGCGGUAUCGUCACCACCACGUGGAGGAAGACCGUCAUCGGCCUGAAAGUCUCAUGGCAGCCGGCCGGCAGGGUGUGGCAGUUCAGCACGUCAUUCUCUCCGGUUGAACAGUGGCACUUCAGUGGAGACAACCCAGUGAGUGAACACCUCAAGGUGUGUCCGUUCAACCAGGAGCUGAACGUUCACGCGGAACCGUUCCAGGUGGGCCCGCCGUUCAUUGCAGAGAGCGACAACAAGCUGAAGGACCUCCUGGCCCAGAGACAGCGCGACUCCGUCAGCAUGAGGCUGCGCGAACUCGGCAACCUGCAGGCCUGUCACAUGAUGAACAACUGUUAAUCCAGCCUCGUUACGUUACCAUGGAAACAGUCGUAUUUAUUAGUGAUAACUAGAGUGGUUCAGAUGUGAGAGGCUUCAAAUACUCUCGGAUAAACCCAGUUUUCAACGAGCUGUUGAUCGUGUGGAAAAUGACUUCACAUGGAACAACAUUCACUUCAAACUGAUUCUGAGCAGAUUGAAACUGAAUCGUUGACACAAAGUUCAACUGGUCCUCCCUGAAUCGUGAAUCAUGGUUUUAAACUUCAACAAGAAAUAGGGCUUAUGAAUAACUACAUGUAGUAGUCCAUCACUUUAUGACUAGUGGGCAUUGUGCAAGCCUGACAUAUGAAAGACAACUGUUAGUACAGACAACUGUUAAUACAGACAACUGUUAGUACAGACAACUGUUAAUACAGACUCGUGUUAGGAGGAUGAGCACUCACAGGUGCUCACUGGACUGGUUUUUGCACUUAAUAUGAAAUUAACCAGUCAAAUUCUUAUUGAGCGCUCGCCCUCAUUAGUAGGCUACAACUGAGUAAUCUUACCAUGGCAACUCGUGUUUAUAUAAUACAUAGUAACCCAUACCUCAUGGCUGGUGAACAAUAUAACCUGCAACAGUUUCAUGUUACCAGGUUGACUCAAAUUUAUUACUGAUAAUUGGUGAUACAUAUAUAUAGUAAUCCAUAACGUGACCAAUUUGCAAAGAAACUUGGAAAACCAGUCAUUAGAUUUAGCACCUCAAUGACUGGCUUUGAUAUGAUACCUCUCUAGUAAUCAGAGGGGAUUGGGGGUGGGGGUUGGGGGGGGGGGGGGGGGGGGGAACAUAUCCCAGUGGUAAAGAGCUAGCUUGAUGUGCAGCCAAUCUGGGGUCGAUCACUGUCGGUGGUGCCAUUGGGCUAUUUCUUGUUCCAUCCAGUGCACUACAACUGGUAUAUCAAAGACCAUGGUAUGUGCUAUCCUGUCUGGGAUUGUGCAUAUAAAAUAUCCUUUGCUACUAAUGGAAAUUUGUAUCAG